GGGGCCACCAUUGUAUAUGUAGUCCAUUGUUGACUAAAAUGUUAAGUGGUGCAUGAGUGUAGUCCACCUAUCUUCCACCAGUUAUUUUCCCUUUAAGACCUGCAACACACACUUUUAUUGGUCCUUUUUAUUGGCCUCUUCUCACUGGCUUUAGAGUGCAGAAUUAGAAAACUCUUUCAUAGUCCUGCAACAAUCUUCCAUCUAAUAUCUCACAAAUUACUCAUUUCCUUUUCCCCCUCAAUAUGUAUUUUGGAGAAUCUGACUAUAAAGACUCUGUAGGUUGGCCACUUACUGAUAUGAAGGUGGAGGAGGACAAAUACUUUCUCUUACCUAAAUGAAUGCCAAAUAACUUCAGCAGCCGGCUCCUCUUAUCCCAUCUUUUCUUAUAAAUGGAAACUCCACAAGAGCAAUGACUGUAUUUUAUAUACCCUGUCAAGGUGUAGCAAAUACUGGGAGUGUUUAAUAAAUAAUACAUGGGAGUGAAGUUCCCAAAUAAUAAAACAGACUAUAACCCUAUCAAUUCCUGCUAGUGAUGCAGACGCUGCACUUAAAACUACUAAGGGGGGAAAAAAGACAUCUUUAACCAUAACGUCCAGAAAUGCCAUACAAGAAGCAUGGCACCAUCAGCUGCUGGUAAGGGCUUCAGGGUGGAUCCUCUUAUGGUCGAAGGCAAAGGGGAGCUGGUGUGUAAUCACAAGGCAAGAGAGGGAGCAAGAGAGAAGAGGGAGGAACCAGGCUCUUUUUAACAACCAGCUCUCUGGGAAUUGAUACAGCAAAAACAAUUGUUACUAUGAGGACAGCAUUAAGCCAUUCAUGAGGGACUCUCUCCCAUGACCCGGACAUCAUUUAUUAGGUACCACCUCUAACAUUGGAGGUUAAAUUUCAACAUGAGAUUUGGAGGGGUCAAAUAAAGCAUCUCCAAAAUACAGCAGUGCAUUAUCUCAUUUCAUUCUUAGAACUUUCAGUUCAUAAACAUUUAUCUUCUAUUUGAUUCACAGCAACAUGAGAAAGUACCAAUAAUAUCCACAUCUUAAAAUGAAACAAAUGAGAAUUCAAGAGAUUAAAUAGGAUGUCCAAGUUCAUACAUUCAGUUAUUACAUGUAGAUCCGGAAUUCAAACCCUCGGUUUUCUGAGUCCCCAGCCAAUAGCGUUAUUCACAAUACUAUACGGUCUUCUCCUCAACUUAGCACCUAUAAGACUUGAAUAAUAAGACUUUUCCUUGUGAAAUUAUGAGGAAUCCUAUCAUUUGAUGGCUUAAUAAUACAAAUCUUCACCUGUGCAAGGCAGACAAGUGUUAUUGCUCAAAGCAUAAAGAUGGGGUUUAACGAACAGAAAUAAUUAUUCAAGAAUCAAGUGGAGCAUGUCCUCUUGUUUGAUUUCACCUUUGUAUUCUAACAUUUGAGCAAUGAUAUAUUUAAUAGGACAACAGCUAAUAGUAGAAAACUUGUUCAGUAUUUAAAGUAACAUUACCAAAGACACAAUCUCCUGCUGUGCAUAUUGAAAUAUUAAAUUUUCUUUACUUUGUUGCCUAAUAAUUUGGGCAGAUUAUGAGAAGGAAGUGAGGUGGCCAAAAAGUCAGUGACAAGCAUUAUAAAUUAUGACCAUUGUAUGUUGUACAAUUCUUCAUUUUAAAUGUUUUUAAAAUUUUAUGCUGCAACUAGACUUUAAAAAAAUAAUUUAUAUGUAAACUUUCUCUUAGCAUUCCUGCAGAUCAUCCUGUGUUACCAAACAUUAGUUGGAUAUAGUAGCUAUAAACAGAUAAGAUUUGAGAAAAUAAUAUAAAAAUAGCUGUGUUUGUUAUACAACCCAGCCUCUUUAGAAUAUAGGGUUGAUUUUUACAAACCAUACUUCAAUCAACAUCAAACAUAUGGCAUUGUGGUUAUGAGAAAAAU
This 1892-nucleotide long non-coding RNA is filed under the name Homo sapiens (human). RNAcentral's name for it is "HSALNT0361972". Lineage: Eukaryota; Metazoa; Chordata; Mammalia; Primates; Hominidae. The record is from RNAcentral.